CACUUUGAGGGUGGGGAGGAUGAGACAGGAAUGUGCUGACCGUGGUGGCUGAGAGGCUACAGGAGGCACUCUUUGAAGGGAAGUUAAAGACAAAGAGGAAGAGGCUGUAUUUCAUUCUCCCAGAUGGCUCCUGCCAGCCUCCAGAGAAAAGGCAGCUUUCUUCUUUAGAAAAUUGGCAGGACAAAAGAAGGAAGUCGACUUGGAAAGUCCAGCGACAGACCUCGUGCCCCUGCUCUGGGAGGCCGCAGGUCAAUGGCUCCCCCUGGCUUCAGGGGACACAGCUCAAGCCUGGAAGGAGCCCAUGGCCAGCCUGAAAGCCUUGCUCACACCCAGCAUCCGCAGCUGGGGCAAGAGCGGCUACUCCCAAGACAGGAAAAGACACACAGCCUAACUUUGCCACUGUGAAGGGAGACUUCUCUCUAAUGCCUAACUAGACACUUAUCUUCCAACCUCCUCAAAAUGCCUUCAAUAGAAGUCCCAGGAAGACACGGAGCCCCAGCCGCCCACUGACUCCUACAGGAUGCAGCUGCGCCAGGCAGCCCAUCCCAGGGGGCCCAGGCCAAAGAGGGGCCAGGGUGCUUCCCCUGAGAAUGAAAAGGGAUGUCGGGUAGAGGGGGAGGGUGAUGUGGGACUCGCUGGUGGCUGUUAAAGGAGCUCGCGUCUCGGUUCCUGCAGGAAAAGUGCUUUGAGCACUCGCCUGGCCUGGUGAAGAAGGAAGGCAGUUGGCGGGCAUUUUUGGAAGCUCUCACCCCCCAUGCUGGUCCUGGUACCCCUUCUCCAGGGAUGCGGGGCCCACAUUCAUCACAGUGGGGUUCCAUAGAUGAUGGUCCUGUCAUAUCAGGGUUCCCAUUGAAGGGGGCCCUUUUUGGCACUUUCUUUUAUUCCAUUAGUCUGUUUGCCUGGUCACACAUUUUAUUGCUUUUUCCCGCAAAAGAAUCAAUGUGGGAAUUUAUUUAUUUAUUUAUUGAGACGGAGUCUCACUCUGUCACCCAGGCUGGAGUGCAGUGGUGCAAUCUCAGCUCACUGCAACCUCCGCCUCCCUGGUUCAAGCAAUUCUCCUGCCUCAGCUUCCCAAGUAGCUGGAAUUACAGGCAUCUGCCACCAUGCCCGGCUAAUUUUUUGUAUUUUUUGUAUUUUUUUUUUUUUCUGAGAUGGAGUCUCUCUGUGUUGCCUAAGCUGGAGUACAGUGGCGUGAUCUCAGCUCAUUGCAACUUCUGCCUCCCAGGUUCAAGCAAUUCUUCCUGCCUCAGCCUCCCAAGUAGGUGGAAUUACAGGUGCCCACUACCAUGCCUGGCUAAUUUUUGUAUUUUUUAGUAGAGACGGGAUUUCACCACAUUGGCCAGAUUGGUCUUGAACUCCUGACCUCAUGAUCCACCUACCUUGGCCUCCCAAAGUGCUGGGAUUACAGGUGUGAGCCACUGCACCUGGCUGAUUUUUUAUAUUUUUAGUAGAGACGGGUUUCACCAUGUUAGCCAGGAUGGUCGCAAUCUCCUGACCUCGUGAUCCACCCACCUUGGCCUCCCAAAGUGCUGGGAUUACAGGUGUGAGCCACUGCGCCCAGCCAGGAAUUUAUUUUUAAAUUAAAUUUGAUUUAUUUAGUUUCCUAACCCUUUUAUUGUUUUUAGGCAAUUUUUUGAAGUAUAAUAUGAAUAAGAAAAUUAUGGUGAAUUGUUACAGCAUCGAGACCUCCAAGACCAGGACAUAGAACAAUCCCAGCCCCCAGAAACCUCCACCCCAUAAGGCUCCACAACCCCUCUUCUAACACACAGAUUACCUUCAGCUCUUCUUGAACUUCAUAUAAGUGUGAAACUCACCCAUGCUGUUGAACACAGCACUGUUUCAUUCAUGUAAGCGGCCUUAUAGUAUUCCAUUAUGUGAACGCAGUUUAUUAUCCGUUCUGUUAAUCACAGUAGUUUUUACCUGUUGUGAGUAAGGGUGUCACAAACAGCCUCAUGUGUACUUUGUGGCAGAUGGAAUUCUUGUACAGAUGUGGAACAUACACUGGAUUUGAAGUGCUGGGUUAUAGAGUAUGCACAUGCUCAGCUUUAUCAAACAGGGCUUAACAGCUUUUCAGAGUGGCUGUGCCAACUCACACUCUCCAACAGUCUAUGGGAGUUCCAGUUGCCCCACACCCUUGCCACCACUUGCAAUUGUCAGCUGUAAAUUUUAGCCAUUUUGUCGGGUGUAUAUUGGUAUUUUAUUGUGUUUUUGAUACUCGUUGCUCCCGCAAUCGUUGAAGUUGAGCACGGUUGUAUAUGCUUAUUGGCAAUUUGGAUACUGUCUUUGCGUUUUCAAAAAUUGGGUUUUUGUCUUUUAUUGAUUUGUAGAAUUUCUUUAUUCUGAAUUUGAGUUCUUAGUUGUGCUUGUGUGUGUGCACAUAGUAAACACACACACAGGUUAAAAUAAUUGGGAGAUCAUUAGAAUGAGAUGACCCCAGCGCCUUGGGUUUCAACUCAAGCAAACCAAAGUCCAUCUCAGUGUACAUGGUUAUAGUUCAGGUAAGCAGAAACCACCGGCUGAUCUCUAACACGGGGCUUUUGACUGGAAUGAUUUCUUUCCCUUUCUUUCUCUUUCUUUCUUUCUCUCUUUCUCUCUUUCUUUCUCUCUUUCUCUCUUCCUUUCUUUUUUUCUUUCCUAUCUUUCUGCCUUUCUUUCCUUCCUUCCUUCCAUCCUUCCAUCUCUUUCUUUUUCUUUUCUCUUUCUUUUCUUUCUCUCCCUCUCUCUUUCUUUCCUCCCUCCCUUUCUUCCUUCCUUCCUUCUUUCCUUCCUUCCCUUCCUCCUUCCCUCCUUCCCCUCCCUCCCUAAAAUUCAUAGAAUAAAAAAAUGCCUGAAUAGCCAAAGUAAUCCUAAGCAAAAAGAACAAAGCUGGAGGAAUCACAUUACCUGACUUCAAAUUAUCUUACAAGGCUAUGGUAACCAAAACAGCAUGGUAUUUAGGAUUGUUUUCCCAAUUCUUUGAAAAGCGAUGUUGGUAUCUUCAUAGGAAUUGCAUUGAAUCUGUAGAUUGCUUUGGGUAGUGUGGUCACUUUCACAAUAUUGAUUCUUCCAAUCCAUGAUCAUGGGAUGUAUUUCCGUUGGUUUGUGUCAUAUACAAUUUCUUUCAGCAGUGUUUGCUAGGUCUCCUUGUAGAGAUAUUUCACCUCUUGGUCAAGUUAUUUCUAGUUAUUUUAUUUUACUUUUUGCAGCUAUUGUAAAAGAGCUCGGGUUCUUGAUUUGAUUCUCAGCUUGGUCAUUGUUGGUGUAUAGCGGUGCUACUGAUUUGUGUACAUUGAUUUUGUAACCUGAGACUUCACUGAAUUCAUUUAUCAGCAAUUCAUUCAUUUUUAGAGGAUACUUGGUCCAUGCACAUGUCAGAGAUUGUUGUAAUGUUUCUUUCUUGCAAUGAUCUCAUCACAUUUUAAUCACAAAGUCAGGCUAGUCUUUUAAAUAAAGUUGCAAAGCAUUAAUCAUU
Molecule: long non-coding RNA, 3451 nt
Filed under: Homo sapiens (human)
Lineage: Eukaryota; Metazoa; Chordata; Mammalia; Primates; Hominidae
Description: non-protein coding lnc-SLC12A7-4:5
Source: RNAcentral